UGCUCUGUGGUGCAAUGGAUAGCUCAUUGGACUUCUAAGUAUAUGACAGCAUUCAAAGAUUGAGGGUUUGAAUCCCACCAGAGUCA
This 86-nucleotide transfer RNA is filed under the name Xenopus laevis (African clawed frog). It matches the Rfam family "tRNA". Rfam says of the family: Transfer RNA (tRNA) molecules are approximately 80 nucleotides in length. Their secondary structure includes four short double-helical elements and three loops (D, anti-codon, and T loops). The record is from Rfam by way of RNAcentral. Lineage: Eukaryota; Metazoa; Chordata; Amphibia; Anura; Pipidae.